This 467-nucleotide ribosomal RNA is filed under the name uncultured bacterium. RNAcentral describes it as "partial 16S ribosomal RNA". It matches the Rfam family "Bacterial small subunit ribosomal RNA", at positions 28 to 507 of the family's 1533-position model. The record is from RNAcentral.
GACGAACGCUGGCGGCGUGCUUAACACAUGCAAGUCGAACGGCAAGGCUUCUUUCGGGGGGUACUCGAGUGGGGAACGGGUGAGUAAUACGCGAGUAACAUACCCUUGACUUUGGGAUAAACUCCGGAAACUGGCGCUAAUACCGGAUACAUGCUCCUGCUGCAUGGUGGGGGUUGGAACGAUUCGGCGGUUGGGGAUGGACUCGCGGCUUAUCAGCUUGUCGGUGGGGUAGUGGCCUACCAAGGCUGUGCCGGGUAGUCGACCUGGGAGGGUGACCGGCCACAUUGGGACUGAGAGACGGCCCAGACUCCGACGGGAGGCAGCAGUGGGGAGUAUUUCACAAUGGGUGGAAGCCUGAUGCGGCGGCGCCGUGUGUGGGAUGACGGCCUUCGGGUUGUAAACCGUGGUCGCUCAUGACGAAGCUUUGUGUGACGGUAGUGGGUAAAGAAGCACGGGCUAACUACGUG